CUGCCUUGUAGCGGGGGAUAACUAUUGGAAACGAUAGCUAAUACCGCAUAACAAUGGAUGACACAUGUCAUUUAUUUGAAAGGGGCAAUUGCUCCACUACAAGAUGGACCUGCGUUGUAUUAGCUAGUAGGUGAGGUAACGGCUCACCUAGGCGACGAUACAUAGCCGACCUGAGAGGGUGAUCGGCCACACUGGGACUGAGACACGGCCCAGACUCCUACGGGAGGCAGCAGUAGGGAAUCUUCGGCAAUGGGGGCAACCCUGACCGAGCAACGCCGCGUGAGUGAAGAAGGUUUUCGGAUCGUAAAGCUCUGUUGUAAGUCAAGAACGAGUGUGAGAGUGGAAAGUUCACACUGUGACGGUAGCUUACCAGAAAGGGACGGCUAACUACGUGCCAGCAGCCGCGGUAAUACGUAGGUCCCGAGCGUUGUCCGGAUUUAUUGGGCGUAAAGCGAGCGCAGGCGGUUUGAUAAGUCUGAAGUUAAAGGCUGUGGCUCAACCAUAGUUCGCUUUGGAAACUGUCAAACUUGAGUGCAGAAGGGGAGAGUGGAAUUCCAUGUGUAGCGGUGAAAUGCGUAGAUAUAUGGAGGAACACCGGUGGCGAAAGCGGCUCUCUGGUCU
RNAcentral lists this ribosomal RNA (621 nucleotides) under uncultured Bacilli bacterium. RNAcentral's name for it is "bacterial SSU rRNA". It matches the Rfam family "Bacterial small subunit ribosomal RNA", at positions 126 to 735 of the family's 1533-position model. The record is from RNAcentral. Lineage: Bacteria; Bacillati; Bacillota; Bacilli.